Long non-coding RNA from Delphinapterus leucas (beluga whale), 1572 nucleotides. NCBI's taxonomy places the organism in Eukaryota, Metazoa, Chordata, Mammalia, Artiodactyla, Monodontidae. The record is from Ensembl.
GACCAGAGGGCAGGCGGCCCCCUCAGGUGGUCCCCGCUGGGGGAAGGACCAGCACCGCCAUCUAGGGUCCCUGGGGGAGCCAGGUAGGAGAGUCAGCAGGGACCCUAGUCUCGGUGCCUGGCACUGGGCUAAGUGUUUAUGCGCAUUAUCUCAUUUGGUUUUCAACAGUCCCAGGAGAUAAGGACUGUCUUUAUCUCAGUUUUGCAGAUAAGGAAACCGAGGCGCGGGAAGGUUAAGACCCCACCUCUAAUGCCCGUGCAUGAGUGGAAGCUGGCCCUGCAUUGGGGGCUACGGUAGUUAGGCACUCGUCACCUCACAGCUCACAGUGCAGGCAUUCAUGACUGCUUGUGGGGCUGGAGGAGAUCGGUACUGAGGAUGCAGCGAGGACAUGCAAAGCCAGAGACCUGCUUGCAGAACCUAGCUCAAGGUCGGAUGCAGAACAGGAGCUGCCUAGAACUCUGACUGCUCAUUCCCUAUCCAGCGCUCCGUCUACAGUCCUGGACUUCAACCACCUCUUUCAACUUGGCUCACGCUGUUUCUUCUGCCUACUCCUCUUGGUGAACUCCACACAUCCUUCAAUACUCAGUUCCAACAUCCUGCAACUCUCCCCUCUCCGAGUCAGAAACAGAAUGAAGUCACCACCACUGCUGGCUCCCAAGCCUAUGGCAGCCUUUGCUAAUGGAUCAUGGUGCCCUUACCCCAAGAUCCUGGAGGUGCCUCUUAGUCUUGCUCAAAGCCACAUAAAUCAAUGCGGCAGGACUAAUGGAUCAGGUAACUCAAGAAUGCAACAGCACUGUCAACCCCAUCUCCCACCAGGCUGGCAUAUCCUCUCUGGUCCCAAAGUACCUUGUAUAAACCCCCAUCUUGACCUGGGCUCUGAUCAUUUUCUUCCCUGUAAUUUACCCCAUUAGUCAGGGCACGUUUUCUCUAGCACCUAGUACUGGGUGUUGUGAGCUGAACUGUGUUCCCCCACAACUCUUGGUGAAGUUCUAACCCCCAGUAUCUCAGAACAUGAAUGUAUUUGGAGAUAGAGCCUUUAAAGAGGAACUUAAGGUAAAAUGACUUCACGUGGGUGGGCCCAAAUCCAAUAUACUGGUGUCCUUGUAAGAAGAGAUUAAGACACAGACGCAGAGACUGGACCAUGGGAUAACCAUGCAAGGACACAGCAAGAAGGCGGCCAUCUGCAAGCCAAGGAGAGAGGCCUCAGAAGAAACCAAACCUGCUGACCCCUUGGUCUUAGACUUCCAGUCUCCAGAACUGUGAGAAAAUCAAUUUCCGUUGUUUAAGCCACCCAAUUUGUGGUAUUGUCUUAUGGCAGCCCUAGUAAACUAAUACACUGGGCCUAGCACAUGGGAGCCACUCACAAGCACCCUUUGGAAACAACUUCAGAUAACUGUGAAAGAGCCCUAUGGGUCAGCAGGAAUGCACCCAGGAGAAUGCAAAAGGGCAAUGGUGACGGGCUUCAGGCAAGUGAACAGGCCCGAACGUUAACUCACCUGUGUCGCCUGCACAGCAGGCCAGGUGGAGCCCCUGCGCAAUAAUUACUGUCAAACUGGCAAGUGAGGGCCUGAA